UCAGGAUGCACUAAGGCCAGAUCGUUCUUCUUCAACACAUUUUGGACUACCAAGGGCUCUGAUGGAAGUCCGCAAGAUACAACCAAGGAAAACACUGUUUACUGGGAUGAUGCAUCUGAUGGAUCAUGAUAAA
Molecule: long non-coding RNA, 133 nt
Organism: Dioscorea cayenensis subsp. rotundata (Guinea yam)
Lineage: Eukaryota; Viridiplantae; Streptophyta; Magnoliopsida; Dioscoreales; Dioscoreaceae
Exons: 3
Source: RefSeq, a predicted model, not a curated record